AUGCCAGCAAAAUCUGGCGUCGGGAUUGGCGUCCCGGAAUUUCACCGCGACAGAGACACGCCGCGAGCGUGUUUUUU
Molecule: small RNA, 77 nt
Filed under: Salmonella enterica subsp. enterica serovar Berta
Lineage: Bacteria; Pseudomonadati; Pseudomonadota; Gammaproteobacteria; Enterobacterales; Enterobacteriaceae
Also listed under: 8 other names
Description: isrK
Rfam family: isrK Hfq binding RNA
Source: RNAcentral